Long non-coding RNA from Aedes albopictus (Asian tiger mosquito), 7271 nucleotides. RefSeq lists it as uncharacterized. The record is from RefSeq and is a predicted model, not a curated record. The transcript has 2 exons. NCBI's taxonomy places the organism in Eukaryota, Metazoa, Arthropoda, Insecta, Diptera, Culicidae.
UAAAUCUAGGUGGAAAUUCAAAGCAUUAACAUCAAUUCUAGCGCUGCAAUCAUUAACGAAGCAGAUGUAAUUUACGAGCAGUUUUAAAAUCUUCACUCGUUGUUUAUCUUCCCAUACCAUUCAGGGCAGGCGCCGCCUAGUGGCAGAAUUUCGAAACAAAUGUCCCGUUUUAUGUAAAUCUGUGCCAUACUGAUCAACUUUGCCGAAUACACCAUCUUUCUAAGUAAUCAAGAUUCUGAGCCAUGAGAUUUUUUAAAUUUGCAUGUUCACUAGCGCCGCCUAGUGGCAGAAUUUCAAAACAAUUGUCCCGUUUUAUGUAAGUCUGUGCCAUGCCAUACUGAUCAACUUUGCCGAAGACACCAUCUAUCUAAGAUACUUGGCCAAACCCCCACAUAGCCGUAAUCCCAUAAACUCUUACACGGAAAAAAAAUCCAUUCCCAAGACCAUGAAUAUGACUCAUAGUUUACCGAUAUUUUUAUGAUUUUAUGUUAUAAAUAUAUACCAUGAUUAAAUUUUAUGAUUUUAUGAAUGAUUUCAUCAUAACGCUAUGCACCCGUUUUUGUUUUGGCUUUCGACGACCAAAAAUGGAAAAUAUAAUCAUGAAGCUAUGAUUAAAUAAGCUGGGAUCAUGAGAAGCAUUCAUGAAGCCAAGAAUAAUUUUGAUAAACCAGGAUGCAGAUACUGAUGCUUUACCACCAGAUUCAUAAAAUUAUGGUUUGGUGAGGUAGAACCAUGCAUAGAAUUCAUGGAAUCAAAAAAUACUUUUAUGAUUCCUUCGUCGUCGGACCUAUAUGCUUCUUAGUCAAAUUCAUAAAAUCAUGGUUGAGGGAGAUGGAACCAUGCAUAGAAUUCAUGGAAUUAAGAAUUACUUUUAUGGUUCCGUCGUCGUUGGACCUUAAUGCUUCUCAAUCAUAUUCAUAAAAGCAUGGUUGAGUGAAAUGGAACCAUGCACAGAAUUCAUGAAAUUAAGUAUAACUUUUUUGAUUCCGUCGUCGUCGGUCCCAAAUGCUUUAAAUUAGAUUGAUAAAACUAUACAAGCUAAAAUCAUAAGCAAAUAAAAUACGUGAUAUUGCGGAGAUUCCACCUGUUUAGACUCCUGCGCGAAAUUUAGUUGCGUGGGCCCACAGAUAUAAAACCAGACCUCGUCCUGGUGAAUAUUUUACGCUGUGUUGUUAGGUACACACUUGGUGAUAGUUUUGCAUUGUAAACAAACAUUUAUAACGCACCUACGCUGAAAAUAAGCCUAAUCAUUUAUUUGCGUCGGAAUUUAUAAAUCUUCACAACGGGCAAUAUCAGAGCCCAUUUCUAUGAUUUUGGGACCUAUCCAUCAUCCUUUUUUUUCUAUGAGCAAGCAGCACUUUUUAGUUGGCCUCUUGUUAAUGAAGAUAUAUCAUGUUCAAAUAUAAAAGAGAACAACAAUGAUCGAACUCACCGGGACCGGAUAAUCAUAUUUAGCUGGUUUACUAUUUUUGUCUUUGGCUACUACAUCGAACAGGCUAAGGAUGCCCUCCAAACCAUAUCGAUUGUUCACUAGUUCACACCACUUGCUGAGUCUCCGAAGUCGUCGAACGAAGGAUAAACCGGAAAAAUAGAGAGAAUUACCGAAAAUUAGCGCGCGCGAUUCUCACUUUGCUUCACCGUCCAUAAACAUCAACUACACAUAAACUCGCAACUACGACGGAUGGCACAACGAAAACGCGAACUGGGCAUUGUUUACUUUUUGCGCGUUUACUUUUUAGUCAAUCAACUCCCAACAAACUGCCGAAUCUUACGGGCACACUGUUUCGAUGUUGCAUUUCCUCAUAUAUGCACAUUUAUUACUCUAGCCAAAUAAAAACUUUGCAAAAAUAGCAAGUUCAAUUUUUUCCACACGUCUGUGCUGGACGACCGCGCGGCAUAUGGCAGAUAAGUGUAACGCUAGGAAGCGACCAUGAAUAUAAUUUAUGAAAAUGCUUGUUUCUAUUCAUAUUUCUGGUCAACUCAUUCAUGAUAUUAUGAAUCUUAAUUAUGAUAUUAUGACUUGGUAGACAUCAUAAGAACAUGAUUUUUUAUUCAUGAUAAGAGGAAUGGAUUUUUUCCGUGUAGUAUCCCCUAUUAGGCGGAUUCCUAUAGUCCCCGAGCAGUGAUCCUAUGACCGACAGUCUCGACUCUACGCCAUCUUCCACUCUCGCCGCAAUAAUUGUCUUCAUUCAUGUCCAGUCCAUCGUCUGAACGGAAUGAAAACAAACCACUUUCAUUCCUUUGCAGGCGAUAAAAGACACUAACGCGGCUCCGUGGUCGUACGGCUAGGGUCACCAAGCUCUUAGUCGCAUCGUGCUGAGGAGCGCGGGUUCGAUUCCCGCCGCAGCUGUCAGGAAAAGUUUUCGGCUGUGCCACUGGGCGUUGCAUGCUAGUCCGUUGUCCAGUGUCGUGCUUCCUUCAAAGAGCGAAAAGCUCACUGGAAGCAUUGAACGUGUCCGUGUCUUUAACACAUUCUCAGACACCUUUUCCAACCAAUACAGAUGCACGUUUGUGUGUAUUGGGGAGCCGCAAGUGAAUUUGCACUAAUACACGCAAGACCGCAUCUACAACUGGUGGCACCCACACAUUGCGGCUUGUCAAUGUGUGGUCAAAAAAUCUGCUCGAAUCCGCAUGAGCGCGGCCGCACCAACGAGCAUGAGCGCAAAAGUGCUUCUAUCGCCGGUAACGCACUUUUGCGCUUGCAGCGUGAGCGCUUUCUCACAAAAUAUGCGCGCUUUGUUUUGGGUGUACUAAUGGUGUACAGCACCACGGCACCGCUACACCGUUCUACCCCCAAUCCAACGGGCAGGUGGAGCGAUUCGUAGAUACGUUUGAAAAAAAAAAACAACGAAGAAAAUUCGCGAAAAAAAAAGAGGUCAAUGCAGGAAGUUUUGAACCUACAGGAGCACGCGGAACAUGUCCGCACCGAACGGUUUGGCACCAUCAGAAGUGAUGGCGAAUCCGUACGAAUUUGAAACUGCUACAUGAUAGGAGAAAUUACCCAGCAAGAAACGUUAGGGUCACAUGAGACUAAUGUAAGACAAACCGGUGAGACAGUUAGGCUAACAAAAUCCCUCACGUUAGGCUCAGGUUCGACAAAAUUCAGGCUAAUAUGACACACUUUUGUUAGACAUAUUUUCGAGCUCGACCCUUUAUUAGGUAUGUACAUGAGCCUAACGUUAGGCAUUUUUUGCACUGGGCUGUUAGACCCUGGUUAGGCAUUAUUUUUAUGCUGGUUUAUUUACAUCUAGCUGCCAUCCACGGUGGAAGUAAAGUUGUGGUAGUGAGCAUGCUUGGGUUCUCACUACCACAACUUUACUUUCACUUUGGAUGGUAGCUAGAUGUAAACAAUUUGAUGAAGUUUCAAGUUCUAGUGAAUCUAACUGCAAAUAAAUAAACAUUUCUGGAGAAGUCUGCUGCCGAGUUAACCGCUGGUAAGUCAUCAUUUCCGGAUCGGAACCAAACCACACAUUUUGACUCGGAUUCGCAGUUGCCGGGAAAAUGUCGACUCGGUCAAGGAAUGCAUCUAUAUCCUGUAUGGACUGUAGGAACAGAUGUACACUACCCUAUGGACAGAGCACUAGUAAGUAGUACGUUUGCCGGAAGUGGCUUUAAAGACUUUCGAAAUGCUAAGCCGUCGAAAGCAACGUAUCAUCAUCUUCCGAAGCGGAUCAGGGCACGGUCAAUGAUCUUCUCGGUCAGCAGUACUCCUGCGGCGACACACAUCGUGUCAUGCGAAUAUCGGAUAAGCUAAAAUGAGGACAAUCCUGAGACAUACCAAGUACGAGGAACACAUUGGCGCCAAACCCAACACUUCCUCCGGAACGAACGUUCAUUCUAUGUAAAGAUUCUGCGAGAGCCGAAGAUGCCCAAGUUUAGUCCAAGUGCUUGAGCGUAAUCCUCGAUCGUGAGCGUGGUCCAUUGGUGCCACCCGACGUCACUUCCAACAUAGACAUUUAAGAAUGCGAAGAGAUUCUGAAGUUUUCGCGUUAUAAAUAAAAUUCAACAAAAUUUUAUAUACCUAAUAAUGCACAUAUUUAGCACCAAGCUUUUUCAUUAAGAUCGUAUUUUAGUUGAGUUCAGUAGUUGGUAAGACAUACAUAAUCCCCCAAACAGUGACUUUAGCGAGUACCUUGUUUUUACCCUUCUUACACCCAUAAGAAGGGUAUAAAUAUCGCUCGAAAAACCGACUUUCGAUCCGAGGCCCGGAGGGCCGAGUCUCAUAUACCAAUGAACUCAGCUCGACGAACUGAGCAAAUGUCUGUAUGUGUGUGUGUGUGUAUGUGUGUAUGUGUGUAUGUGUGUGUGUGUAUGUGCGUUACAAAAAAAAGUCACGCACGUUUCUCAGCCGUCUGUCAACCGAUUUGAGUUCUCUUGGAAGCAAAUGAAAGCUACUACAUCCUAGUAGAACGCUAUUGAAUUUUUUUUCGAUUGGACGUUUGGUUACCGAGAUAUCUCUCGAAGAGUACUUAUGAGUCAUACUUCUAAACUUUUUAAGAUUUUUGACCAAGUGUAUCAUAAUAAAUAUUUCGGCCGUUUGUCAAUCGAUUUAAGUUCUCUUGGCACCAAAUGAAAGCUACAGCAUCCUAGUAGAUCACCCAGAAAUUUUAUUUCGAUUGGACAUUUGGUUACAGAGAUAUCCUUCGAAGAGUACUUAGGAUUUAUACAACUAAACCUUUUGAGAUUUUUGACCAAUUGUAUCAUAAUAAAUAUCUUAGCCGUCUGUCAACCGAUUUCGGUUAUCCUGGCACCAAAUGAAAGCUACAACAUUCCAGAAGAACCCUAUACAAUUUCAUUAGGAUUGGACAUUUGAAUACCGAGAUAUCUUUCAAUUAGUACUUGGGAGUAAUACAGGUUAACUUUUUGAGAGAUUUUGGACCAAGGGUACCAUAAUAAAUAUCUCAGCCAUCUGUCAACCGAUUUGGGUUCUCUUAGCACCAAAUGAAAGCUACAAUAUCCUUGUAUAAGGCCCUGAAAUUUUAUUUCGAUUCGACAUUUGAUUACUGAGAUAUCUUACGAAGAGUAUUUCAAUAAAUUCUUUUUACCCUUCUUACACCCAUAAGAAGGGUAUAAAUAUCGCUCGAAAAACCGACUUUCGAUCCGAGGCCCGGAGGGCCGAGUCUCAUAUACCAAUGAACUCAGCUCGACGAACUGAGCAAAUGUCUGUAUGUGUGUGUGUGUGUGUGUGUCAAGGGGGAGUCGCUGAGCACAUCUUUACUUGUGCCAAUUAUUUUCAGUGUGCCAACGGGUGUUCAACUGUGCCUCAGUGUGCCCCGAAGUGCCACUGCUUUAUGAUUCAGAUUUUGCUUGGCAACUACCAAGACAACCAACUGUUUGUUUUCAUUUUGCAGGUCAAAUGCACAUGGUUGCCUAGAUUUUUCACUCAAACUCAAGUGUCAAAAUUGUGCCUCAGAGUGCCACGGUGUGCCACACAGCGUAUAAGACGGUGUGCUUGGCACCUCUUGGCACAAUGUUCCAAGCGACUAGCUCCUUGGUGUGUGUAUGUGUGUAUGUGUGUAUGUGUGUGUGUAUGUGCGUUACAAAAAAAGUCACGCACGUUUCUCAGCCGUCUCUCAACCGAUUUGAGUUCUCUUGGAAGCAAAUGAAAGCUACUACAUCCUAGUAGAACGCUAUUGAAUUUUUUUUCGAUUGGACGUUUGGUUACCGAGAUAUCUCUCGAAGAGUACUUAUGAGUCAUACUUCUAAACUUUUUAAGAUUUUUGACCAAGUGUAUCAUAAUAAAUAUUUUGACCGUUUGUAAAUCGAUUUGGGUUCUCUUGGCACCAAAUGAAAGCUACAGCAUCCUAGUAGAUCGCCCAGAAAUGUUAUUUCGAUUGGACAUUUGGUUACAGCGAUAUCUUUCCAAGAGUACUUAGGAUUUAUACAACUAAACCUUUUGAGAAUUUUGACCAAGAGUAUCAUAAUAAAUAUCUUAGCCGUCUGUCAGCCGAUUUCGGUUAUCCUGACACCAAAUAAAAGCUACAACAUUCUAGUAUAACCCUAUACAAUUUCAUUAGGAUUGGACAUUUGGUUACCGAGAUAUCUUUCAAAGAGUACUUGGGAGUAAUACAGGUUAACUUUUUGAGAGAUUUUUGACCAAGGGUACCAUAAUAAAUAUCUCAGCCAUCUGUCAACCGAUUUUGGUUCUCUAAGCACCAAAUGAAAGCUACAAUAUGCUUGUAUAAGGCCCUGAAAUUUUAUUUCGAUUCGACAUUUGAUUACUGAGAUAUCUUACGAAGAGUAUUUCAAUAAAUUCUUUUUUUAUUAUAUUCACUUGUUAUCUUGCAUUUGUUUUUGACCAGUCUAUGGGAAAUUAUUUUUCAAUAAAUGAUGCUGACCUCAUACAAAGUGUAUACUAGCAGGUUAUUGUUUUCAACAAAAUUAUAAAUAACAAAUACACAGGAAUUUUAUGGAAACUAACAAUAUGUUAAAUGAAAGCUUUGAAGAACCAGACAGCCAAAAUAACUAGCUAAUGCCAAAACUGAUUAACUAAGUAGAUAUAUCAUUUUUGUCGUUUUUACACCAUAACCAUGAAUACCAAGUACUUCGGAGCUAAUUUAAUUGACUGAUUUAGACAAAGUGUAUCUCGCUGAUUUUCUUACCCAUUUGUUAAUCGAUUCAAGAUCUUUUAGCAGUUAAUAAAAGAUACAAAAUUCCAGAAUAUGUAAGCUAUUUUUUAAACAUUCCAUACAAGACUCUAGGAAGUGUCUGGCAUUUCUGGUAGUUUAGUCCAUGGUCCAUGGUGCUAGUUUGGAAACCAAUCCACUAGAUGCCAAAUCCACAAUAUUUUCUAGAACUUUUGGUCAAUUCCACAAAACAAAUAUGUUAAACUAGCUGUACCCGGCAAACUUUGUCUUGCCUACUGCGUUUUUUGACGUUUUAAGUUUCUAGCCCAAAUUCCCGGUCCCCGGUAUGAAAGAUCGAUUUUCAAAAACUAUCAUUUUUUCCAUGUUUUAUGCCUCAUAAACCUUCCUUGGGUGAAAACUAACAGAUCAAAACUAAGACGACCAAAAUCGGACCUUCCGUUCGCAAGUUAUGCGCGGUCCCACGUAUGCCACUGCAUUUUUAUAUAUAUAGAUACAAAUAAUACAACAAUAAUUUUAAUAAGUGUAAGAAGGGUUCUGUUCACCAUAGGUGGAUUAAAUCGGGUUUUUUUAAAUAGAAAUUGAUUCAAAUUAUUCAGUUAAGCACUGCGGUAGCAUUAAAGAUUAUUGUCAAAAUUUGUCCUGAGUAGGGGUUAAUUGUUUUCUAAUAAAUACAAAACAAAUAUA